CUGCCUCAUCACCGCCAGACUUAAGCUGAGGCCCGCUGGCUCUCUGGCAGGGUGUAGAACUGAGCCCAGGCUACACUAUGCUGUUCAUGCUCUGUGCUUGUGCCAAGAGGGCAAUGGCAGUUUCCUGUGUUCUCCUGCACACUGGGCAGAAGAUGCCCCUGAUUUGUCUGGGUACCUGGAAGAGUGAGCCUGGUCAGGUAAAAGCAGCGGUUAAGUAUGCCCUUAGUGUAGGCUACUGCCACAUUGACUGUGCUGCUAUCUACGGCAGUGAGCCUGAGACUGGGGAGGCCCUGAAAGAGGACAUGGGACCAGGCAAGGCAGUGCCUUGGGAGGAGCUGUUUGUGACAUCCAAGCUGUGGAACACCAAGCACCACCCCGAGGAUGUCGAGCCUGCCCUCCAGAAGACUCUGGCUGACCUCCAGCUGGAGUAUCUGGACCUGUACCUGAUGCACUGGCCUUAUGCCUUCGAGCGGGGAGACAAUCCCUUCCCCAAGAAUGCUGGUGGGACUAUACGCUAUGACUCCACCCACUACAAGGAGACUUGGAGGGCUCUGGAGGCAUUGGUAGCUAAGGGGCUGGUGUGAGCUCUGGGCCUGUCCAACUUCAACAGUCAGCAGAUUGAUGACAUACGCAGUGUGGCCUCCGUGAGUCCAGCUGCCUUGCAGGUAGAAUGCCACCCAUACUUGGCUUAGAAUGAGCUAAUUGCCCACUGCCAAGCACGUGGCCUGGAGGUAACUGCUUAUAGCCCUUUGGGCUCCUCUGAUCAUGCAUGGUGCGAUCCUAAUGAACCUGUCCUGGAGGAACCAGUAGUCCUGGCAUUGGCUGAAAAAUAUAGCCAAUCUCCAGCUCAGAUCUUGCUCAGGUGGCAGGCCCAGCGGAAAGUGAUCUGCAUCCCCAAAAGUAUCACUCCUUCUCAAAUCCUUCAGAACAUCAAGGUGUUUGACUUCACCUUUGGCUCGGAAGAGAUGAAGCAGCCAAAUGUCCUGAACAAAAACUGGCAACGUAUUGUGUCUGUGCUUACGGUGGAUGGGAAAAGAGUCCUAAGGGGUGCAGGGCAUCCUCUGUACCCCUUUAAUGACCCGUACUGAAACCACAGCUUCUUGGCCUUCC
This is an RNA transcript of Cebus imitator (Panamanian white-faced capuchin), 1110 nucleotides long. It is a transcript of the gene named aldo-keto reductase family 1 member A1-like, with no coding region annotated. The transcript has a single exon. Lineage: Eukaryota; Metazoa; Chordata; Mammalia; Primates; Cebidae. The record is from RefSeq and is a predicted model, not a curated record.